Melitaea cinxia (Glanville fritillary) is the source of this 174-nucleotide long non-coding RNA. RefSeq lists it as uncharacterized. The transcript has 3 exons. The record is from RefSeq and is a predicted model, not a curated record. Lineage: Eukaryota; Metazoa; Arthropoda; Insecta; Lepidoptera; Nymphalidae.
GAGGGUCUGUCCGGGUACGGGCCUCGAGGUUGCCCUCUUUACCCGGGCUUUCUUCUCCGGGGCUUCGCCUCCAGGGUCAUAUCCUUUCGGCCCUAUUGGGCCAGGGUCGCAGUGCCCUUAGGGUCUUCGCCUUGUUUGGGUCUUCUCCUUGCUUGUGGUUAUGGAACUAUAACA